CUUUUGAUCAAAUGAAUCAAGAAAAACUUAGCUCUGAUACCAAAAAUGAUAGCAACGGUUACCGGAUGAUUAAGAUCGUUCCUUGAUGAUCUGGUUCAGCCAAUCUUUAAUCUUGAAUGAACUCAACAACAUUGAGCAUAUCGAACUCAACACCUUUGAAUUACACUAAAAGAAAGAAUUAUGGAAAUCUUCUAAGCAACCCAACCCAACCUAUUUGAACCCAACAACAGUAGGUAUAUUAAACCUACCACCUUUGAAUCACAAAAAGGUAGAAAAAUUGAAUUACUGUUACCCACCCCUAAAUCUAAUGAACCCAACAAUAAUAGGUAUAUUAAACCUAUCACCUUUGAAUCACAGAAGAGAAAGAAGAAAGGCCAAGGUGCCACAACUAGGAGGAAGAAUCCUAGUUGAUAAACCUAAUAAGUUUUGCAAGCAACUUGCAAGACCCAAACUAGCUCAAAGAGACUAACAAAUUAAGGAAAACCCUUAACAAGUAUGUAAUUUCAAUCUGAUUUUUACAAGUAGAGUGCAUCCCUAUUUAUAGGUCAUAGGGAGCAUGAAAUUCAAAAGUAAAUUACUUAAAAUUAACUUUAGAAAUAGAAACUAAUAAAGAAAAAUUCAAGAGUAAUUAAUGACUUGGGAUUCUAGUCUUCUUUGAAUUCAUUCUCCAAGACUGACUUCUGUUUACUCCAUGUUGAUUUUUCAUCAUCCAAUGAAGAGUUUUAAUGCUUUUGAAGACACCAAUCUUGUUCAUAAAUGAUCAGAUUUAUUGAUGUCCUUCAACUUCAAAGUCAAGCCAUUAUUGUUGACUAGAAUUGAUAAAAGAAUGUAGUCUUGAACCAGCCAUGCUUUUGCACUAAUUUUAGGCCAUAUUAGGGCCAAAAUGAUUGUCUUGAUCAACCCAAUAUGAUCCAUUAGCCCUUAUUGGCCCAUGAUCUGAAAUGGUCAUGAAAUUCACAAUUCUAGACUUUGCAUUGUGGGCUUUGGAGCAUUCUAGUGAAAGACUUGUGCUAAUCAAAUUCUUCAAAGCUUCUUGCACUUUCUUUCUUCUUGAACGUGUCAUUGGACCAGCAAUGUUGAUCAAAUUAUCAUCUUCACAAACUUGAGCUUCCUGAUUAGCAACAUUUGAUCUUUUGUGCAUUUGAUCGAUAUCAAUAUCAAACUCAACACCUUUGAAUUACACCGAAAGAAAGAAUUAUGGAAAUCGUCUAAGCAACCCAACCCAACCUAUUUGAACCCAACAACAGUAGGUAUAUCAAACCUACCACCUUUGAAUCACAAAAAGGUAGAAAAAUUGAAUUACUGUUACCCACCCAUAAAUCUAAUGAACCCAACAAUAAUAGGUAUAUUAAACCUAUCACCUUUGAAUCACAGAAGAAAAAGAAAAAAGGCAAAGGUGCCACAACUAGGAGGAAGAAUCCUAGUUGAUAAACCUAAUAAGUUUUGCAAGCAACUUGCAAGACCCAAACUAGCUCAAAGAGACUAGCAAAUUAAGGAAAACCCUUAACAAGUACGUAAUUUCAAUCUGUUUUUUACAAGUAGAAUGCACCCCUAUUUAUAGGUCAU
Molecule: long non-coding RNA, 1566 nt
Filed under: Carica papaya (papaya)
Lineage: Eukaryota; Viridiplantae; Streptophyta; Magnoliopsida; Brassicales; Caricaceae
Description: long non-coding RNA (CPAP_LNC002275)
Source: RNAcentral